This is a long non-coding RNA of Mauremys reevesii (Reeves's turtle), 265 nucleotides long. RefSeq lists it as uncharacterized. The transcript has 3 exons. The record is from RefSeq and is a predicted model, not a curated record. NCBI's taxonomy places the organism in Eukaryota, Metazoa, Chordata, Testudines, Geoemydidae.
CACAGGCGUGGCUCCACUAAUUAGGUGCCUGGACUGGACCCUGGAGAAGACGCACAUGUAAGGAAACAGGAUUGGACUGCAACAACAGCCCAUCUUAACUAACUUCUCUUUCCUGUGAAAAGGCCAGUUAUUACCAUCUUUAAUACCACCUCCAGUAUUAAAACAGGUGUUGGAAUUUCCUAACAUCCAUUCCAUUCCCAGUGACGAGAGUCACCAGAUACCAAAAGCUUAAGGUUUAUAUUUAGCAAGCUCUGUAGCGCCAAGA